This 672-nucleotide ribosomal RNA is filed under the name uncultured fungus. RNAcentral describes it as "eukaryotic LSU rRNA". The stretch from base 145 to 299 matches the Rfam family "5.8S ribosomal RNA". Lineage: Eukaryota; Fungi. The record is from RNAcentral.
GUGCACGCCCGAGCCCUUGAAUCCCAAACACACAUGUGAACCCACCGUAGGCCUUCGGGCCUAUGUCUUAUCAUAUAAUCCAAAUGUCUAAUAGAAUGUGAACCCAUUUUGUUGCCUUGAAAACGUAACGAAAGAAAACUAUACAACUUUCAACAACGGAUCUCUUGGCUCUCGCAUCGAUGAAGAACGCAGCGAAAUGCGAUAAGUAAUGUGAAUUGCAGAUUUUCAGUGAAUCAUCGAAUCUUUGAACGCACCUUGCGCCCCUUGGUAUUCCGAGGGGCAUGCCUGUUUGAGUGUCAUUAAAUCCUCAACCCCUCCGAUUCGUUUCGGUGGGGAUUGGACUUGGAGCGUGCUGGCGAAGGUCGGCUCCUCUUUAAAUGCAUCAGCGGAGAAAAUGCCUUUUGCGCCUCUGGCCGUUCAGCGUGAUAAUGACGUUGCGCUGCGGUCGAGCUUAAGGUCCGCUUCCAAAGAUCCUCACGGACGAUAUACAUAUGACUUUUGACCUCAAAUCAGGUAGGACUACCCGCUGAACUUAAGCAUAUCAAUAAGCGGAGGAAAAGAAACUAACAAGGAUUCCCCUAGUAACUGCGAGUGAAGCGGGAAAAGCUCAAAUUUAAAAUCUGGCAGUCUCCGGCCGUCCGAGUUGUAAUCUGGAGAAGCGUUUUCCGCGUC